This 309-nucleotide unclassified non-coding RNA is filed under the name Hevea brasiliensis (rubber tree). Lineage: Eukaryota; Viridiplantae; Streptophyta; Magnoliopsida; Malpighiales; Euphorbiaceae. The record is from RNAcentral.
AAUUUGGCCGUGAAGAUAGAAUCCCUUAUAGAAGGUUGUAGUGAUGUGUCCUUGAGAAGUCUUAGCCAAGAUACAACUUAUCAACAUGCCAAGGACCAAUCCUUACCUCAAUUUAUCAAAAGUAUACCCAGUACGCAAAAUCCUUGUCAGGAAUUGGAUGAUUUAUGUUAUCAAAACAAUUGGAUAUUACCGACUUACAGUGUGACUGCAAUAGAUGGUGGAUUCCAAGCCAAAGUAAUUGUGAAAGGGAUAGACUUCGAGUAUUCAAGUGAUGGCGAUUUGCAUCUCCAUCCACGUGAAGCAAGAGAU